GGCCUCAUUCUGUGAGAAUGGGAGAGACUGAUUGCAGUGCCCGAAGCUGUCGCUGUCACUAUACUGGGACACAGGUUAUGCUUCUAUCACAGUGAUUGAACUGCAGUGCUGAUAACGAGACGUGGGACAUUU
This is a small nucleolar RNA of Ochotona princeps (American pika), 132 nucleotides long. The record is from Ensembl. NCBI's taxonomy places the organism in Eukaryota, Metazoa, Chordata, Mammalia, Lagomorpha, Ochotonidae.